RNAcentral lists this ribosomal RNA (408 nucleotides) under uncultured microorganism. RNAcentral describes it as "bacterial SSU rRNA". It matches the Rfam family "Bacterial small subunit ribosomal RNA", at positions 509 to 917 of the family's 1533-position model. The record is from RNAcentral.
CAGCCGCCGCGGUAAUACGUAGGGUGCAAGCGUUCAUCGGAAUUACUGGGCGUAAAGCGUGCGCAGGCGGUUCGGAAAGAAAGAUGUGAAAUCCCAGAGCUUAACUUUGGAACUGCAUUUUUAACUACCGGGCUAGAGUGUGUCAGAGGGAGGUGGAAUUCCGCGUGUAGCAGUGAAAUGCGUAGAUAUGCGGAGGAACACCGAUGGCGAAGGCAGCCUCCUGGGAUAACACUGACGCUCAUGCACGAAAGCGUGGGGAGCAAACAGGAUUAGAUACCCUGGUAGUCCACGCCCUAAACGAUGUCAACUAGCUGUUGGGGCCUACGGGCCUUGGUAGCGCAGCUAACGCGUGAAGUUGACCGCCUGGGGAGUACGGUCGCAAGAUUAAAACUUAAAGGAAUUGGCGGG